UGAACUCUGUCAUUAAAUUUGC
RNAcentral lists this microRNA (22 nucleotides) under Echinococcus granulosus. RNAcentral describes it as "egr-miR-10235-5p". Lineage: Eukaryota; Metazoa; Platyhelminthes; Cestoda; Cyclophyllidea; Taeniidae. The record is from miRBase by way of RNAcentral.